This 483-nucleotide ribosomal RNA is filed under the name Triticum aestivum (bread wheat). Its description in RNAcentral is "partial small subunit ribosomal RNA". The record is from RNAcentral. Lineage: Eukaryota; Viridiplantae; Streptophyta; Magnoliopsida; Poales; Poaceae.
ACAGAAUAUAAUUUGGUUCCACACAGGAGUAAGUUGGGAAGAGCUAGGAGAGCAGCAGUGAAUCAAAUAAGGGGAGUAGAUGAUGACCAAUAUAAUACUUUGUGGGACUAUGGUCAGGAGCUUAGAAGGAGCAAUCCAGGAAGCCAGUUCUUCUUGUGCACUAAGGAAGUAUUUGAUGAGAAGACAAAGAAGGUACAAGACCACUUUUCCACAUUGUACUGGUCAUAUGAUGCAUGCAAGAGGGGAUUCCUUAAGGGAUGUAGACCAAUCAUUUUCCUGGAUGGUUGUCACAUUAAAACGAGAUACAAGGGAACAUUACUAACAGCCGUUGGAAUCGAUCCCAAUGAUUGUAUCUUUCCAGUAGCAUUUGGGUUAUGUGAAGUGGAGUCAACCCAUAGCUGGGAGUGGUUCUUAGCAUCCUUAAAGGAUGACCUGAACAUAAUGAACACCUCACCAUACACCAUUAUGAGUGACAAGCAGAAG